UGCUGAUGACAUCAGAGCUACAAUAGUGGACCAUGUAAUCAACCGUGGAAUGACCCUGAGGGUAGCUGGCCAACGGGUCCAGCCUAACUCGAGCCGCUACACUGUAGCAAGUACCAUAAGGACAUCUUGAAAUGAGAAUCGAAUUGCUAGAUGACCAGAUGCUGGGGGCAGAGGAAGCAUGUUCACUGCAGUCCAAGUAACCCAUAUAGUCAUUAUGGCGAUUGCAAAUAAUCCUAUACUUGGAAAUAAACACUUGUGUUUGUUUUGAUGUGUUUCAAGUACACCAGUACUUGAAGUUUGGAUCCCUCUAUGCUUAUGGAUCUAUGACAGAAGUAUGAGCUCAAACUGACAUAGCCUACCUUGUGCACAGAGAAAGCAAAAGCCAGAUGUGUUUUGUAUUCAUACCAUCAGUGUGCAGUUGGCGCAUUGUGUGCUUAGUAGAUGAUGGCUUGUGUGUACUGUUUGAUACGGAAACACCAUUUUUACGAAGGUGUGAAGAGUUAAUCUAGCUGUGUUUGCUUUUGCAAGAGAACUACAAUGUUUUGAUGAUUGGGUGACAGGUUUUCUUAUUUGUGGGAAGAGUUUUGCAAAAUUAGCCAAUAGUUACAAAAAAUGUGCUUAAGCAAUGAGAAAAAACUGUAAAACUAAGUAGCUGCCACCAUUGUUGGAGAACUGGAAUUGGCUGGGCCGCGCUAUGAAUCCUGGGAUAGGUUGGGCCACGAAGGAUGCACUCGACUUAUCCUUCAAAUCUGGGGAAAUGCAGAAUGCAUUUUUCGGCCGCGUUUGGGAGUCUUCAAAUUUGAACAGGCUUCGCCAUGUCGCUGUAAUGUAAUGUAACUGCUUCUUCUUCUUUGGGGUUUAAUGGCAGCUGGCAUCCUUGUACAUGCGGUGCUGCCAUCUUCUGUUUCAGUCCAUUAUUACGCUCUUAAAUCCUGCUACUUAUUCCGCGUCUUUCUUACAAAGCUUCAAACGAUGCGUCGACUAUUAAAUUAGUCGUUGCUGAUUUUGAUAGUCGACGUAAUCAUGACUAGUUGACUAAUCGUGGCAGUCCUACUACACUUAGUACACUUAGUGCCUGGAAGUACUCCCAGGUUGCAAAAAAAUAUUAGCUGCUUAUUACAGUACACACGUUCAUAUUUGUUCUUCUGAGAAGCCUGUAGAAGAAAAAGUGUUUAUGUGUGACAGUUUUAAGGCAAAGGAGGGUGGGAUUGACAAAAUGUAAUAAACAGGUCACUGGGGACUUCCUCCUUCGAGCACUUGCAUGAAACCUUGUAUUUGAUGUUUUUGCGCCCUUGGAAGAAUGAAUACUC
Molecule: long non-coding RNA, 1310 nt
Organism: Astatotilapia calliptera (eastern happy)
Lineage: Eukaryota; Metazoa; Chordata; Actinopteri; Cichliformes; Cichlidae
Source: Ensembl